RNAcentral lists this ribosomal RNA (253 nucleotides) under uncultured bacterium. RNAcentral describes it as "partial 16S ribosomal RNA". It matches the Rfam family "Bacterial small subunit ribosomal RNA", at positions 524 to 776 of the family's 1533-position model. The record is from RNAcentral.
UACGGGGGGUGCAAACGUUGCUCGGAAUUAUUGGGCGUAAAGCGCACGUAGGCGGUCCUGUAAGUCGGGUGUGAAAGCCCGGGGCUUAACCCCGGAAGUGCACUCGAAACUGUAGGGCUUGAGUAUGGAAGAGGGUCUCGGAAUUCCCGGUGUAGAGGUGAAAUUCGUAGAUAUCGGGAGGAACACCAGUGGCGAAGGCGGAGACCUGGGCCAAUACUGACGCUGAGGUGCGAAAGCGUGGGGAGCAAACAGG